This is a long non-coding RNA of Ictalurus punctatus (channel catfish), 3009 nucleotides long. The record is from Ensembl. NCBI's taxonomy places the organism in Eukaryota, Metazoa, Chordata, Actinopteri, Siluriformes, Ictaluridae.
CAGACAUCCAAUCCGAUUUCAUCAUGCAAGUGCGAGCGAGCGUGCUGAUUUUGAGCCACUCUACCCAGCAUACAGCGUGUGCAGUCCGAUCCCGUCGAUCUGGGUGCGUUUUAUUUCAAUCACCGCGUUAAGAAAAAAAAAAAAAGCAGAGACUUUCACCGGAAUGCACGCGUUUUCUCUCUGAUUUAUCAUUCCUGCAGGGUUUUCUUGUCUUCUUGCAUAUGGGAAGAAUGUGAUAAUGGAGCGGGAGAAAAAUAAAAGGGAGUGGAAACGGACUGAGCUCGAGAGAUAAGAAAAAAAAGCAAGAGAGGCCGUCCAUUUUGUCAGAGCAGCAAAAAAAAAAAAAAAAAAAAAAAAAAAAAAAAAAGAGAGAGAAGAUGGAAUUCAAGCACAAUCUGGAGGAAGGAAAAAGAUGGAGAAACGCGCGCGCCGUGCCUUAAAAAUGGGAUGAAUAUUUGGGAUGUGGUGUGUUGAUGAUUCGGAGAGAGAAAAAAUGGAAAGAUGAACCAGGCAUGAUGAAGCUGCUGCAUCUUCUUCAUCCUCAUCAUUCGGUCCUGUCUGUCCUGACCUGGAUUUAUCUCGGAUUAAAUCCGCACACACUCGGGUUUAACCCGGGAUUGUAAUCUCGGUUGUUGGAUUGAAGAUUGUGCACUGUUGCAGACUUUAUGAAGUGGCCUAGUAUGCAUCAUCUAGUGUGCAUCAUCUAGUGUGCACGGACCUGCAUCCUGAGCAUCUCACCUGUACCCUCUCAGAUGAAAAGGUCAAAGGUAGACACCAAUUACAGCUACAUCGUCAUUAAAGGAACGUCAUUAAUCUACAUAUUUUUGGAUUUGAAGAUCCACAGUUUGUAUCUUGACACUGAAUGUCUGACUCUCAGCUAGGACAGAUAUCAGAAUACACGUUCUUCUUUUUUUAGAAAUUCAUUUUUCAUUCCAGUCUGACGUGGUUGGAGUUAAAGGGAUGUAUUUGUAUUGACUUUUUGACUUUUCCACUUUUGGAAGUGUAAAGGGAUGUGAGGUCUAUAAUCAAGAUCACACCUGAGCGCUGAUCUGCAUUUCGUCUGAAACCGGACGCAGCGUUACCGAGAAAACUGUACAAGUCCUUUAAAGGGAGAAUCCAACGUUUCUGGAAUUAAAAGAGACACCUUAAAGGUUUCUGUUGGGGUUUUUAAUUAUUAUAAUUUUUUUUAGAGCAGGUCCGUAAUUGAGAUCACUGCUGAGGAGAAUGGGCUGCUGUGGGAGCGUGUGCAUCCUUUAAAGGGUAACUCAGAGCUGGCUGGAAUUAAAUGGAGACGUUCAGGGUUUCUUUAAUAAGCAGUGCAGCACCAGUGGAGACUUCCUGACGUUUACAAAAAGCACACAACUGAUCACCUGAGGAAUGAGGGUUCUUCCUCAGCAAGAGCUCUCUGGCGGUGGGUUUUGAACACACAACCUUCUGAUUAAUAGCACAGAACCUUAACCACUUAGCACUUUUCCAGAAUCCAGUGCAGCUGGAGCUCGGUGCUUCCUCAGUUUUCCUCAUCCUCGUCUCGUUUAAUCAUCCUCAGGGUUAAAGGGGGGGUGGGGUGGUGGUGGUGGUGGUGAAAUAAACAGUGCUGGAUUUUUGCACUUUCUCCCCCUCGGACAUUCACUGUGCUGGAUGUGUUUGUAGUGGAUGACCUCUGAUGACCCCUAGUUACACUCCGGAGUGCGUUCCAGAGAGCGUGCGUGCUUUCCCGAGUGCUGCUGGAGGACGGGUUGGAUUGAAACCCUACGAGACCGUGAGAACUGACCAAGAGGAGGAGGAGGAGGAAGAAGGAGAUAUGAGCUGUGGAUGGUGGUGAUGAUGAUGAUGCUGGAUACACAGGAGUUAGCUGUGCAGCGUGUACAGAAAAGAAUUACAGGCCCGUGUUUCUUAUUAUGGCUUCCAGAACGAGUAGAUUCAGUAGUAAUGAAAGAAAAGUCUCUAGUUUGGAAUAAUGGUCCGACCUGAAAGGUGCAGUGAGGAUUUUUUUUUUUUUAAUUGUUCUUACCACUACAAAUAAAUAAAUAUCGGUGAUGACAAAGAAACAUCUGUUAAAAACGUAGAAUCCAAAGCAAGUGAAAGAAGAAAAAAAGGUCAAAGAAAAAGAAAAAAAAACAGGUCCGUGCUGUCAGUCAUGUUAUAGACACACCUCCAGGGGGCGCUUGACUCCAGCCACUUCUUUACUGCUCAGGAAAGCAAAGCAUGGUGGGUUGUGAAAACAGCACAGAGUAAAGUGUAAAAUGAGAUUUAUUAUCGUUAUUGACUUUAACGCCACUGACGAGUGUGUGAUGAGUCGUUAUGAACUGGAUGAUGCACCACACCUUUGAUCUCCAACACACACACACACACACACACUGUCUCUCUGAGGACGUUUGUCUUCAGCUCUGUCUCCUCUGUGAAGUUUUUAUCGACGCGCUGCUGUUGUCUUGGAUGUUCCACUUAUCACAAAUAUACAGUUUCUCACUAGAGAAACCGCUAGAACACACUCGGUCUCUUCUGUUUAAUUCAGAAUGGUCUUUAAACACUGACUCACACACAUACACAUACACAUACACAAAAACACAUGCAUAUGUAACUGGACAAAGUGUUUAUUAUUAGUGUAUAGAAUGUAAAAUCAACACAUCGAGCUGGAGACACACAGGACUGGAUUUUUUAUCAGUUGCAGCAGUUAUUAUUUAUGUUUGUUUCUCAUGACCAUUAUUUCUCACUAAUUUACUUGGGUCUGUUUCCCAAAAUAUAAAUUACUAAUUACACCACUCUGACUCCGACUCCACUCCGACUCUGACUCCACUCUGACUCCAACUCCAUUCCGACUCCACUCUGACUCUGACUCCACUCUGACUCCACUCCAACUCCACUCCGACUCUGACUCCGCUCUGACUCUGUCUCUGUCUUCAUUCUGACUCUGACUCCACUCUGGCUCCACUCCGACUCUGUCUCCACUUUGACUCUGACUCCACUCUGACUCUGUCUCCACUCUGACUCUGACUCUGAUUCCACUCUGAC